UUAUGUCCAGAGCUUCACACAUGCUACAAUGGCGCGUACAGAGGGCUGCGAUACCGUGAGGUGGAGCGAAUCCCUUAAAGCGCGUCUCAGUUCGGAUUGGGGUCUGCAACUCGACCCCAUGAAGUCGGAGUCGCUAGUAAUCGCAGAUCAGCAACGCUGCGGUGAAUACGUUCCCGGGCCUUGUACACACCGCCCGUCACGUCAUGAAAGUCGGUAACACCCGAAGCCGGUGGCCUAACCCCUUGUGGGAGGGAGCUGUCGAAGGUGGGAUUGGCGAUUGGGACGAAGUCGUAACAAGGUAGCCGUACCGGAAGGUGCGGCUGGAUCACCUCCUUUCUAAGGAGCAUUUAGUGCCGUUUCAAACCCGACUGUGGUUUGGCGGUCGCUCAUAUUAUUGGGUGGAACACUGACACGGUAGUUCUUAUUGCCUGCUGGGCCGGCUUGUCCGGUUGGUGGGGUUUCGUCGGCACACUGUUGGGUGUCUGAGAGGACACGUCCUUUCUGUUGCUGCUGCGCGUCAGCGCUCACGUACCACGGCCUUUCGGGGUGUGGGUGGGUGGCCGUGUGGUGGUGUUUUUUGUUUGAGAAUUGUAUAGUGGACGCGAGCCUCAACCCAGAAGCCGGAUCGUUUGUAUCUGGUGGAGUGGUUUUUGUUUCUGUAAUUUUACAUGUUUCUGUGUAAGCAUUUUGUUGUGUUUUUUGGCGCUUGAUGUCAUGAAGGGCGCAUCGGAUUUGUGAUGGCUUCGGUUGUUUCGGGUUUGGUGUGUGUUUUGUGUGUUGUAAGUGUCUAAGGGCGCACGGUGGAUGCCUUGGCGCAAGGAGCCGAUGAAGGACGUGGGAGGCUGCGAUAUG
This 852-nucleotide unclassified non-coding RNA is filed under the name Tsukamurella sp. Its description in RNAcentral is "bacterial SSU rRNA". The stretch from base 1 to 336 matches the Rfam family "Bacterial small subunit ribosomal RNA", at positions 1202 to 1533 of the family's 1533-position model. The record is from RNAcentral. Lineage: Bacteria; Bacillati; Actinomycetota; Actinomycetes; Mycobacteriales; Tsukamurellaceae.